Molecule: transfer RNA, 60 nt
Filed under: Oxylipeurus chiniri
Lineage: Eukaryota; Metazoa; Arthropoda; Insecta; Psocodea; Philopteridae
Description: tRNA-Glu
Source: RNAcentral
UUUUUAGUAGUUUAAAAAGAGAACAAUCCAGUUUCAGUGGGUGGGUGAUUAAAAAAUCCU